RNAcentral lists this long non-coding RNA (666 nucleotides) under Equus asinus (donkey). RNAcentral's name for it is "lncRNA (ENSEASG00005036917.1)". Lineage: Eukaryota; Metazoa; Chordata; Mammalia; Perissodactyla; Equidae. The record is from RNAcentral.
GCAUCUUAGACAUCGACCUACCACAUAUGUCAAAGCAGGGAGUGAGCAGGAGGAACAAAUGCCUUGACCUCUCUCUCUUCCCAUCCUCUGAUCUCCCACCACUGUCCUCCAGUGGCCAAACUCAAGUAGAUGCCAGAAGGCAAGGGAGGCCUCAAAGGUCAUCCUUCCAGGGCCCAGCAGUCUCAGCACCAGUACUCGCAGAGCCUCUGAGGAUUCUGUGGUUAUACCUGCUCCUCAUCCAGAAGCAUGAGAUUCUUGGCUCUUCUCUUCCUGGCGGCUCUGGCUGGGGCCCUGGUCUGUGCCCAAGAUGCCUCUGUGACCCGUGCUGAACCUGGUGCGGGGAUCACAGCUCCAGUGGAAUCUGCUUCACCCCAAGAGACGGCAGCAGGAGACGGGUUCGCCCCAGGGGAACAACUAAAACCCCUGAAAGACUUAGCAGAGAGAAGACUCUUGAAAGCAAGGCGUACCCUUGAAGAAGCAAGAAAAGGAGCGCGGGAAGGAAUUGAAGGUGGAAAAAAACUCUUCGAAGGUGGAACUGAAUUUGUAAGAAAACUGAGGGACAAAUUCAUUCCAAUUAAGCCCUGAGAACCUGAAAAGAAUGGGGUCUCUGGACUUAUCGCCUUAAACUUGCUUGCAGCUCAGAACAAUUAAACUGAAAGCAUCCAA